UCGGUAAUGCUUUUUCCAGAAAAAUGAAAUUGGUUGAUAAAAAGAAUUCCGUUGCCGGGACUUGAACCCGGGUCUCUCGGGUGAGAGCCGAGUAUCCUGACCAACUAGACUACAACGGAAUGUUGGUUGUUUCAAUAGGUAAAACUUACUUGUACCAUAUCCAAAGAAUUAGCCGCUGAUGAAUUGUAGUAAGUAAUGAGGGUCGAGAAUCUCAAACCCUAAUCAGCAUCGAUGAGAAUCGCAAGCACUUCUCAUCUGGUUAAUCUUCCUCAUCAAAUUACAGUUGCGGAUGUUGUGAUUGUGGUUGCUGCGAUGCGCAUUGGGGUUGUUGCUGCCUGAAUUUUUAUUGGGGCGUGAAUUUUUAUACUUUAUCUUAAGAUUUUUCAUUACAUUUAUAACUAAAUUGCCUGAUGCGAUUCCUAAUGCAGUCGGAUGCAUGAUUUUAAAUUACACUACAAUUGGAGUCCGAUGCGGUUGCGGAGGCUACCGCAUCAGCAAUAUUGUGGCGGAAAUUGCGGUCGCAGACCACAAUUUAGAACCAUGGUUGUGGUUGUGGAUGUGGAGGAGAUUGGUGUUUAAGUUGGAGGAUGGAUGACUUGCUGAUAGAUCUUUGAAACUUAUUCAAUGGGGUAGGCUUUUGAAGCAAUGAAGAGUAUUCUCUUAGAGUUAGAAGCUUUUACAAGAUAGAUUUCCAACUAUAUUUCACCUUUUUAAAAGAGGAUCAAUGGAUUGUGAGAACCGAGAACAAGCAUUAAAGUGAUUUAUCCCGAACUAUUUCAAGUGGCUAAAAACAAAGAGGCAAGCAACUGUGACUAAGACUGUAUGCUAGAGAAUGAUGGCGUCUGGAGUUUUUAUGGCUGUGGAGGAGAAUGAGGUUUAGGUGGGGUGAGGACUUGCUAUUAGAUCUUUGAAACUUAUUUGCUGUGGUAGACUUUUCAAACAAUGAAGAAUAUUCUCUUGGAGGCUUUUUCAACAUAGAUUACCAACUAGAACUCAACUUAAAGAGAUUAGGACAUUUUCCGCAUGAGUUUCCUACUUGGGAUGAGACAGCAAACUAAGCAGAGUUUGAUGAAGAGGAAGAACUGUAACUUUUGGCUCAUAUUGGAAAAAUGACACUUGGGAAAAGAAGUCAAGGAAACUUGGUAAAAGAACACCAAGCGUAUUCUUCUUGGAGUUGGUGAGGAAUCAAUGGCUGGUGAUCAUGUCUCCAAAAAAGUUUUGGUCAGUAGAAAUGUCAAAUUUGAUGAAGCUAAAAAUUUGUAAUUGGAAGGGAGAAAAAGAAGAAAAUAAGAAUGAGCAUGUUGUUUUGGGGGGACAAAGUAGAAGAUUAGGAAGCUGAGCCCGAGGAAGGUGAAGGAUAAAGCUGAUGUUGAUGCGGAACUUGAAAUUGGAAGAUCAUGUCACUUGAUAGAUUCUGCUAAUAAUUUGUCAAGUAGUGAUGCUGCUGGAAAAAAUAAGGUGUACAAACUAAGAAAGAAAUUGUAUCUUUUCAAAAAGAUGUUGAAAGGAAUCAGAACAAUGAUAUAGUACUAGAAUUCUAAGCCAAUGCCUACCCUGCUACUGAUGCACAACCUGAGAAGAUAUCAUGGUUCCGAGGUUGCCAAUUCAGAUUUGACAGAGAUGCAACCAACCAAUUUCUUGGAAACCUUUUUCAAGUUGUCUAUGAUGAACUAGAUGCAUAUGCAAGAGGAAGAUUAAUCAGCCAGAGCAGCAAAUGAGUUGGUUUUUUACCAGACAGAAACACUUAGUCUACUCUUGUCCUAACAAGAUCAAACUUAAGUAUUACUUGCGCGAUUCGACCUCAACUACAUAUUUUAAAAUCUGAUAUUUAUAUUACUAUCAUACUCAAUUUCUAAUUAGUUGUCUAUAAACAUGAGUUUGAUGCAUUUUAGAGCCUCAAAGUUAUCAUCACUUAAAGUUAAAACAAACCUGAUAUUUUGUCUUGUACACUUGAACAGCUGCUGCAUGAGCAAGGAGUAGGUGAUGUGCAACUAAAUAGGGCUCUGUCCCUGAAUCACCGCCGGUGCAGUUGAGAUUUAGCCAAUCAGAGCAUCGACCGGGCGGAAACAUCCCUAUAACAUAUCCUGCUGUUGUGUAAGUCGAUGGUUCAUUUAUAGUAAUCCAAUGUUUCACUCGAUCUCCAAAUUCCUUGAAGCAAAGCUCCGCGUAAUCCCGAAAAUCAAAUCUAAAAGUUCAUAAUAGAAAAGUAUAAACAUUAGUUUUGUGCAUUUUAGAAACAGACACUUAUAACAUACAUUUAGAGGUCAUAACAUAUAGUACAUAAAAAGUUUGUUACUUACACAAUGAGAGGACUUAAGAAACCACCAUAUUCAUCUUCCAAAGCUUGUGGUAGAUCCCAAUGAAAAAUGGUUGCAAAUACUUCUAUACCUGAAAAACUAAUUAUUUUUUAAUCAACUUUAAUUGCAAAAAUGUCUUGAGAAAUUAGAAAAUCAAAAUUUACAAAAAAUAAAUAAAAAUUUGAAUUAUGACCAUUAGCUAAUAGCUCGUUGAUCAUGUUGUUGUAGUAUGUGAUCCCUUCCUCAUUUAUACCUCCACUUAUUCUUCCACCUGUCGAUUAUCAUUUUUUUAUUAUUAUGAAAAUGCCAUAAUUAAUGCAUUAUUUAAUUAUGUAAAGGAUAUGAGUCGAUAAAAAAAUCGACUUACUUGGUAGUAUUCUCGACCAUGAGAUGGAUAAUCUGUAUGCAUCUAAAUUCAUAUACUUCAUGAUUCCAACAUCUUCCUGUAAUUUUAUAAUAAAUUCAGUUUGUUGAGUUUAGUUUUAAUAUUCUCUACUCUGAUAUGAAUCAUACCUUGUAUAGAUGAUACCCAUCAACAGAGACUUCUCCUGUGUUUCUGUCAGCUAUCUUUUCUGUAUAUCAAUCACCAAUGAAUACAUUUUAGUUUUUCUUGUUU
Long non-coding RNA from Lathyrus oleraceus (garden pea), 2913 nucleotides. RefSeq lists it as uncharacterized. NCBI's taxonomy places the organism in Eukaryota, Viridiplantae, Streptophyta, Magnoliopsida, Fabales, Fabaceae. The record is from RefSeq and is a predicted model, not a curated record. The transcript has 5 exons.